GACGAACGCUGGCGGCGUGCUUAACACAUGCAAGUCGAACGGAAAGGCCCUGCUUUUGUGGGGUGCUCGAGUGGCGAACGGGUGAGUAACACGUGAGUAACCUGCCCUUGACUUUGGGAUAACUUCAGGAAACUGGGGCUAAUACCGGAUAGGAGCUCCUGCUGCAUGGUGGGGGUUGGAAAGUUUCGGCGGUUGGGGAUGGACUCGCGGCUUAUCAGCUUGUUGGUGGGGUAGUGGCUUACCAAGGCUUUGACGGGUAGCCGGCCUGAGAGGGUGACCGGCCACAUUGGGACUGAGAUACGGCCCAGACUCCUACGGGAGGCAGCAGUGGGGAAUAUUGCACAAUGGGCGGAAGCCUGAUGCAGCAACGCCGCGUGCGGGAUGACGGCCUUCGGGUUGUAAACCGCUUUCGGCUGUGACGAAGCGUGAGUGACGGUAAUGGGUAAAGAAGCACCGGCUAACUACGUG
RNAcentral lists this ribosomal RNA (468 nucleotides) under uncultured bacterium. Its description in RNAcentral is "partial 16S ribosomal RNA". It matches the Rfam family "Bacterial small subunit ribosomal RNA", at positions 28 to 507 of the family's 1533-position model. The record is from RNAcentral.